CUAAGAGCUUCUCUAGAUCCACAGCGCAAGUGAACAGCAGCUGUGAGAUGAUGGCAGGCACAUGGCCGGACAAAGCUUUCAAACAAAGGCACAAUUUCAUCUGAGAAGAUGGAGCCUGCAGUCAUGGCACAGACACUUUGCCAUCAACAGAGAAAACAGGAAAACGCUCCGUUUGGCCUUCUGUGUUGUUGUUUUUUUCUUUUAAAUACUGUUUUUACUAUUAGCAAUGAUACAGAUUACCUGAUGAUUUUCUUUAUGUUUUUCAGGAAAGCCCAAACUCACCAAUAGUAAAUGAAAGCCUUCUGUGAAUAAAAUCCUGGAGAAAACUGUACUGCAACUAAAUUACAUGCUGGAUGAGCUUUGGCAAUGAAUCUCACAAAGUUCAUGAAAUUAUGACACACAGCUUCAAAAGGAACCAUGAAAAGUGAAGAAAGACCUGGUACUAAUUCACGCCACACUGUGCUACACAGUGCUCCUGGCUGCAUCGCACCUGUUGAUGUUUAUGUGCCAAGGUACAUUACGCCAACUGCAAUGGCAAGGAAGGUACGGCAGCAACUAAGCCUGCAAACAGGACAGCUGCAUCUCAGGGACAACUGCUCUCCAGCACUGGGCCAGGAACCUGCUUCGACUGCUGGAGCAAAAGUAGAGGAGGUGUACACGUGUGGAAGCUUUGCACCUUGCAUGGUCACUGCAGCCCACCAGCCUGCACACAGAGGUGAAUGCGUCGUGAUCCGUGUCAUAGGAACCUCUCACUGAGUGAGAAGCUGUCAUUGCAGAUGGGCAGCACAGUCCACUGCCUAAUUUCCUGAUGCUCAAGGAGUGACCUGACUGAGCCAGCAGAGUUCUUAAUACUUCACCACCUUGACGUGCAGGGAGAGAAUCAGGCGUCUAGUUUGUAAAUGUGGUUAUGUUGGUUUUUUUUUUAACUGUUUAAUGUAAGAGACAGAACAGCAGCGCUGUUUCUGCUCUCCUUUUGUGGUCGCAGUAGGGCUAAGCUGGCAACACCUGGGGAAAAUGGGUGUAUUCCUCUGUCACCUCUGUGUGCAGGUAACAGAAUAGUUAUUUCACUGCUGUUAGCUCCAUAGUUGUCCUUAACCAUGCAGGAAGCUGCAUGAGAGGUGGAAACUUAUCAGAUUGCAAGGUAGCUAGAUGCACUCUAUUCACUUUCAGGUUUGUUACAUAAUGUUGAGCAACCCCAGCAGCAAGGAGCUGGGGUCUCACAAGGAGCUGGGGGGCACACAGCCAGGACAGCUGACCCCUGACCAAAGGGAUGUCCCAUACCAUAUGGUGUCAUGUUCAGCAGUGAAACAGGAGGAGUCUGCUGGGAGGGCUGCUGCUGGCUGAGCAUCCAUCAGUGAGUGGUGAGCAAUUGCAUUGUGCGUCACUUGUGUUGUGUA
RNAcentral lists this long non-coding RNA (1397 nucleotides) under Coturnix japonica (Japanese quail). RNAcentral describes it as "lncRNA (ENSCJPG00005016075.1)". The record is from RNAcentral. Lineage: Eukaryota; Metazoa; Chordata; Aves; Galliformes; Phasianidae.